This 492-nucleotide ribosomal RNA is filed under the name uncultured bacterium. RNAcentral describes it as "partial 16S ribosomal RNA". It matches the Rfam family "Bacterial small subunit ribosomal RNA", at positions 29 to 507 of the family's 1533-position model. The record is from RNAcentral.
AGUGAACGCUGGCGGUAGGCCUAACACAUGCAAGUCGAACGGCAGCACAGUAAGAGCUUGCUCUUACGGGUGGCGAGUGGCGGACGGGUGAGGAAUACAUCGGACUCUACUUUUUCGUGGGGGAUAACGUAGGGAAACUUACGCCAAUACCGCAUCCGCCCUACGGGUGAAAGCAGGGGAUCUUCUGACCUUGCGCGAUUGAAUGCGCCGAUGUCGGAUUAGCUGGUUGGCGGGGUAAAGGCCAACCCAGGCGGCGAUCCGUAGCUGGUGUGAGUGAACGAUAGGCCACACUGGAAGUGAGACACGGACCAGACGCCUGAGAGAGGGAGCAGAGGGGAAUGUUGGACAAUGGGGGCAAGCCUGAUCCAGCCAUAGCGCGUGGGUGAAGAAGGCCUUCGGGUUGUAAAGCCGGUUUGUUGGGAGAGAAAAGCAGCAGGUUAAUACCACGCUGUUCUGACGGUACCCAGAGAAGAAGCACCGGCUAACUUCGUG